CUCAGCUCGGAUUGGAGUCUGCAACCCGACUCCAUGAAGCUGGAUUCGCUAGUAAUCGCGCAUCAGCCACGGCGCGGUGAAUACGUUCCCGGGCCUUGUACACACCGCCCGUCAAGCCAUGGAAGCCGGGGGUGCCUGAAGUGCGCUGCCGCAAGGAGCGCCCUAGGGUAAAACCGGUGACUGGGGCUAAGUCGUAACAAGGUACC
RNAcentral lists this ribosomal RNA (206 nucleotides) under uncultured bacterium. RNAcentral describes it as "partial 16S ribosomal RNA". It matches the Rfam family "Bacterial small subunit ribosomal RNA", at positions 1287 to 1500 of the family's 1533-position model. The record is from RNAcentral.